This 49-nucleotide ribosomal RNA is filed under the name Ophiosphaerella korrae. RNAcentral's name for it is "partial ribosomal RNA". The record is from RNAcentral. Lineage: Eukaryota; Fungi; Ascomycota; Dothideomycetes; Pleosporales; Phaeosphaeriaceae.
ACAACUUUCAACAACGGCUCUUGGUCUUGGCAUCGAUGAAGAACGCAGC